RNAcentral lists this ribosomal RNA (400 nucleotides) under uncultured bacterium. Its description in RNAcentral is "bacterial SSU rRNA". It matches the Rfam family "Bacterial small subunit ribosomal RNA", at positions 355 to 771 of the family's 1533-position model. The record is from RNAcentral.
UGGGGAAUAUUGGACAAUGGGGGCAACCCUGAUCCAGCAAUGCCGCGUGAGUGAUGAAGGCCUUCGGGUUGUAAAGCUCUUUUGUUAGGGAAGAUAAUGACGGUACCUAACGAAUAAGCACCGGCUAACUUCGUGCCAGCAGCCGCGGUAAUACGAAGGGUGCUAGCGUUGUUCGGAAUUACUGGGCGUAAAGGGCGCGUAGGCGGUUAUGUAAGUCAGAUGUGAAAGCCUUGGGCUUAACCUAAGAAUUGCAUUUGAUACUGCAUUGACUAGAGAUCGAGAGAGGAAAGUGGAAUUACGAGUGUAGAGGUGAAAUUCGUAGAUAUUCGUAAGAACAUCGGUGGCGAAGGCGGCUUUCUGGCUCGAUACUGACGCUAAGGCGCGAAAGCGUGGGGAGCAA